UUACAAAAAUUUUUCGUUCUUUUCUCAUUCUUUUCAAAAAAUCUCUUUUCUUUUAAUAUCUUCGAUUUUUCAGCCAAGACCAUCAUAAUUCUGAGAUUUUUUUCCUUUCGAUUAAAAAAAAAGAAGUGAAAAUUGAUUAAAUACAUUUGAAGAUACAAGUCAACGAAAUUUUGGGGUUAGUGUAACCCUUGUGUGUAGGAAUCGGGAGAAAAAUAAGUUAACUGCAUGGUAAUCAAAUAAGAUGGAAAUUUAGCGCGUUAAAGAAGUUAUAUAAUAAAAAAAGGGAUCAUAAUCGUACUAGUGGAAAUGCUCCAAAGGCUCUUGAUAAAUUUGAAGAACCAAUUAAAGAAAUUUCAGGUGAUAAAAGUGGUGAUGCUAUUAAAAAAAAUUCUUUCAAUUCACCAUUAUUAAAGCAAACUUCAUUGAAUCAAUCACAAGAACAAAAUAUAAUAUUGUUAGAAAAUGUUGAUAGAGAAAAAAAAUUAAUGAUAUUCAGAACAAUAUAAAAAUAAAUCAAAUGAGGAAGCAUGACAUACCUGAAACAGACUCAGAGAAUAUUGAUAUUGAAGAAGCAAUAAAUAGUGGACAGAAUAAUAUAAAAAUAAACCAAGUAAAAAAACAUAGUGUACAUGGAACAGGCUCUAAAGUUGCUCGUACAAAAUUAGAAUUGGAGAAACAGUGGUUAGAACAUUUAAAAAUCAUACAUCAAAAAUAUGAAGAUAGAAGUAGUCAUGAUGGAAAUAAACAUAACA
Long non-coding RNA from Monomorium pharaonis (pharaoh ant), 752 nucleotides. RefSeq lists it as uncharacterized. Lineage: Eukaryota; Metazoa; Arthropoda; Insecta; Hymenoptera; Formicidae. The record is from RefSeq and is a predicted model, not a curated record. The transcript has 2 exons.